This 506-nucleotide ribosomal RNA is filed under the name uncultured bacterium. RNAcentral describes it as "partial 16S ribosomal RNA". It matches the Rfam family "Bacterial small subunit ribosomal RNA", at positions 29 to 523 of the family's 1533-position model. The record is from RNAcentral.
AGUGAACGCUGGCGGUAGGCCUAACACAUGCAAGUCGAACGGCAGCACAGGAGAGCGUGCUCUCUGGGUGGCGAGUGGCGGACGGGGGAGGAAUACAUCGGAAUCUGCUCUGUCGUGGGGGAUAACGUAGGGAAACUUACGCUAAUACCGCAUACGACCUACGGGUGAAAGCAGGGGACCUUCGGGACUUGCGCGAGUGAAUGAGCCGGAGUAGGAUUAGCUAGUUGGCGGGGUAAAGGCCCACCAAGGCGACGAUCCGUAGCUGGUCUGAGAGGAUGAUCAGCCACACUGGAACUGAGACACGGUCCAGACUCCUACGGGAGGCAGCAGUGGGGAAUAUUGGACAAUGGGCGCAAGCCUGAUCCAGCCAUACCGCGUGGGUGAAGAAGGCCUUCGGGUUGUAAAGCCCUUUUGUUGGGAAAGAAAUCCAGCUGGCUAAUACCCGGUUGGGAUGACGGUACCCAAAGAAUAAGCACCGGCUAACUUCGUGCCAGCCGCCGCGGUAA